UACGAAGGGGGCUAGCGUUGUUCGGAAUUACUGGGCGUAAAGGGCGCGUAGGCGGUACUUCAAGUCAGGCGUGAAAGCCCCGGGCUCAACCUGGGAACCGCGCUUGAGACUGGAGAACUAGAGUUCGGGAGAGGAUGGUGGAAUUCCCAGUGUAGAGGUGAAAUUCGUAGAUAUUGGGAAGAACACCGAUGGCGAAGGCAGCCAUCUGGACCGACACUGACGCUGAGGCGCGAAAGCUAGGGGAGCAAACGGG
This 253-nucleotide ribosomal RNA is filed under the name uncultured bacterium. Its description in RNAcentral is "partial 16S ribosomal RNA". It matches the Rfam family "Bacterial small subunit ribosomal RNA", at positions 524 to 776 of the family's 1533-position model. The record is from RNAcentral.